Asterophora parasitica is the source of this 108-nucleotide non-coding RNA. NCBI's taxonomy places the organism in Eukaryota, Fungi, Basidiomycota, Agaricomycetes, Agaricales, Lyophyllaceae. The record is from the annotation of a GenBank genome assembly.
GGCGGGUUAGCGUAAUGGUUAACGCGCCAGUUUCCGGUUUGAGCGGAGUUCACUUAACCACUGCCCUAACUGAGCUGGAGAUUCCGGGUUCGAGUCCCGGGCCUGUCG